This 309-nucleotide unclassified non-coding RNA is filed under the name plant metagenome. Its description in RNAcentral is "partial contains 5.8S ribosomal RNA, internal transcribed spacer 2, and large subunit ribosomal RNA". The stretch from base 1 to 105 matches the Rfam family "5.8S ribosomal RNA", at positions 50 to 154 of the family's 154-position model. The record is from RNAcentral.
GAAAUGCGAUAAGUAGUGUGAAUUGCAGAAUUCAGUGAAUCAUCGAAUCUUUGAACGCACAUUGCGCCCCUUGGUAUACCAUGGGGCAUGCCUGUUCGAGCGUCAUUUGUACCCUCAAGCUCUGCUUGGUGUUGGGUGUUUGUCCCGUCUCCGCGCGUGGACUCGCCCCAAAGUGAUUGGCAGCCGGCGUACUGGUCCCGGAGCGCAGCACAUGUCGCGCAAACGAGUGCCUUGGUACGGCGGCGUCCAUAAGCCCCUCUCUCACGCUCUUGACCUCGGAUCAGGUAGGGAUACCCGCUGACCUUAAGC